UGGGGAAUAUUGGACAAUGUGCGCAAGCCUGAUCCAGCCAUGCCGCGUGAGUGAUGAAGGCCCUAGGGUUGUAAAGCUCUUUCACCGGUGAAGAUAAUGACGGUAACCGGAGAAGAAGCCCCGGCUAACUUCGUGCCAGCAGCCGCGGUAAUACGAAGGGGGCUAGCGUUGUUCGGAUUUACUGGGCGUAAAGCGCACGUAGGCGGACUAUUAAGUCAGGGGUGAAAUCCCGGGGCUCAACCCCGGAACUGCCUUUGAUACUGGUAGUCUUGAGUUCGAGAGAGGUGAGUGGAAUUCCGAGUGUAGAGGUGAAAUUCGUAGAUAUUCGGAGGAACACCAGUGGCGAAGGCGGCACACUGGCUCGAUACUGACGCUGAGGUGCGAAAGCGUGGGGAGCAAACAGG
This 404-nucleotide ribosomal RNA is filed under the name Actinomycetes bacterium. Its description in RNAcentral is "Actinobacteria bacterium partial 16S ribosomal RNA". It matches the Rfam family "Bacterial small subunit ribosomal RNA", at positions 355 to 776 of the family's 1533-position model. Lineage: Bacteria; Bacillati; Actinomycetota; Actinomycetes. The record is from RNAcentral.